GCGUCUGUAGCUCAACUGGAUAGAGUAUCAGAUUCCGAUUCUGGCGGUUGCAGGUUCGAGCCCUGUCAGGCGCGCCA
Molecule: transfer RNA, 77 nt
Filed under: Holdemanella biformis
Lineage: Bacteria; Bacillati; Bacillota; Erysipelotrichia; Erysipelotrichales; Erysipelotrichaceae
Description: tRNA-Arg
Rfam family: tRNA
About the family: Transfer RNA (tRNA) molecules are approximately 80 nucleotides in length. Their secondary structure includes four short double-helical elements and three loops (D, anti-codon, and T loops).
Source: RNAcentral